GGCGAACGCUGGCGGCGUGCCUAAUACAUGCCAGUAGAACGCUGAAGGAGGAGCUUGCUCUUCUGGAUGAGUUGCGAACGGGUGAGUAACGCGUAGGUAACCUGCCUGGUAGCGGGGGAUAACUAUUGGAAACGAUAGCUAAUACCGCAUAACAGUAGAUGUUGCAUGACAUUUGCUUAAAAGGUGCAAUUGCACCACUACCAGAUGGACCUGCGUUGUAUUAGCUAGUUGGUGGGGUAACGGCUCACCAAGGCGACGAUACAUAGCCGACCUGAGAGGGUGAUCGGCCACACUGGGACUGAGACACGGCCCAGACUCCUACGGGAGGCAGCAGUAGGGAAUCUUCGGCAAUGGACGGAAGUCUGACCGAGCAACGCCGCGUGAGUGAAGAAGGUUUUCGGAUCGUAAAGCUCUGUUGUAAGAGAAGAACGAGUGUGAGAGUGGAAAGUUCACACUGUGACGGUAUCUUACCAGAAAGGGACGGCUAACUACGUG
RNAcentral lists this ribosomal RNA (495 nucleotides) under uncultured bacterium. Its description in RNAcentral is "partial 16S ribosomal RNA". It matches the Rfam family "Bacterial small subunit ribosomal RNA", at positions 28 to 507 of the family's 1533-position model. The record is from RNAcentral.